Long non-coding RNA from Myotis lucifugus (little brown bat), 627 nucleotides. RefSeq lists it as uncharacterized. The record is from RefSeq and is a predicted model, not a curated record. The transcript has 3 exons. NCBI's taxonomy places the organism in Eukaryota, Metazoa, Chordata, Mammalia, Chiroptera, Vespertilionidae.
GGGGGCGCCCGGCGGAACGGAGCGUCCUGUCCGCGGCUGAGUCAGCGGCGUCGGUGGGAAGGCGGGCAGCGUUCUCGGGCCGCGUGAGUAACCUGCAAAUCAAUAUCCUCCCCGCGGCCUUGGGGAGAGACGAAUGGUUAUGGAGCAAACGCACUUCUGUUCUAAGGAGAACAGAGGGGAGCCAAGGCCAGCCAUCCAUCCGCCCGAAACGCCACGUUAGGAAGACUCCCUCGGCGCGGGCCGCUCUCCUGCCGGAAAACCUGGCGCGCAGAUGGACGCCCGGGCGGGGCUGUGCCACAGCGAUGGCGCUCGUGCCCUGAAAACGCCUUUAAUGGAAACACAAAACACAAACACGUGCGGGGCAGAGAUCAGCAAACUGUGGCCCACAGGUCAAAUCUGAAUGACUGCGUGUUCCUGUAAAUUAAGUUUUCUUUGCACACAGCCACACUGACUCACUUAUAUAUUGUUUGUGGCUAAUUUCAUGCUGUAGGGGCAGAGGGCUUUACUUCAAACUGUAGCAUGUGGAGUAAUCAGAAUACCCAGGGCAUUUCGGCAGACUGAGGAAACAGAUCGGAACGAGUCAUCACACUACGUAAAAUUCAAAAACUGGAGGCAACAGGGAAGUCA